GAGUUUGAUCAUGGCUCAGAACGAACGCUGGCGGCGUACUUAACACAUGCAAGUCGAACGAGAAAGGGGGCUUCGGUCCCUGAGUACAGUGGCGAACGGGUGCGUAACACGUAAGUAAUCUACCCUAGACUCUGGGAUAACUUCUCGAAAGGGGAGCUAAUACCGGAUAGAUCCCAUCCCUAUAAGGGGAGGGGGGAAAGCGGGCCUCUCGAAGAAGCUUGUGGUUUAGGAUGAGCUUGCGGCCCAUUAGCUAGUUGGUGGGGUAAUGGCCUACCAAGGCUGCGAUGGGUAGCUGGUCUGAGAGGAUGAUCAGCCACACUGGCACUGAGACACGGGCCAGACUCCUACGGGAGGCAGCAGUGGGGAAUUUUGCGCAAUGGGCGAAAGCCUGACGCAGUAACGCCGCGUGGAGGAUGAAGGCCCUCGGGUUGUAAACUCCUGACAGGGGGAAAGAUGCAGCCUUGGUUAAUACCCUUGGUUGCAUGACGGUACCCCCAAAGGAAGCCCCGGCUAAUUCCGUGCCAGCAGCCGCGGUAAUACGGAAGGGGCAAGCGUUGUUCGGAAUCAUUGGGCGUAAAGGGCGCGUAGGCGGUCUCGUAUGUCCGCUGU
This 609-nucleotide ribosomal RNA is filed under the name uncultured bacterium. RNAcentral describes it as "bacterial SSU rRNA". It matches the Rfam family "Bacterial small subunit ribosomal RNA", at positions 9 to 595 of the family's 1533-position model. The record is from RNAcentral.